AUAUCUUAGCCCUGGGUCAUUUAGUUCCUGUGUCGAUGAAUGCGGCUAGCUGUGAGAAUUAAUGUACAAUGCAGGACACAUUGAUCCGAAGGCACUUGCAGCCUCGGGUUCCUCCUGGGGCUUAUUUUUUUAAAAGGACA
RNAcentral lists this ribosomal RNA (140 nucleotides) under Marmota marmota marmota (Alpine marmot). Its description in RNAcentral is "5.8S ribosomal RNA (ENSMMMG00000000416.1)". It matches the Rfam family "5.8S ribosomal RNA". Rfam says of the family: 5.8S ribosomal RNA (5.8S rRNA) is a component of the large subunit of the eukaryotic ribosome. It is transcribed by RNA polymerase I as part of the 45S precursor that also contains 18S and 28S rRNA. Functionally, it is thought that 5.8S rRNA may be involved in ribosome translocation. The record is from Rfam by way of RNAcentral. Lineage: Eukaryota; Metazoa; Chordata; Mammalia; Rodentia; Sciuridae.